RNAcentral lists this ribosomal RNA (254 nucleotides) under uncultured bacterium. RNAcentral's name for it is "partial 16S ribosomal RNA". It matches the Rfam family "Bacterial small subunit ribosomal RNA", at positions 524 to 777 of the family's 1533-position model. The record is from RNAcentral.
UACGAAGGGGGCUAGCGUUGUUCGGAAUUACUGGGCGUAAAGGGCUCGUAGGCGGCCAACUAAGUCGGAUGUGAAAUCCCCAGGCUUAACCUGGGAACUGCAUCCGAUACUGGAUGGCUUGAAUCCGGGAGAGGGAUGCAGAAUUCCAGGUGUAGCGGUGAAAUGCGUAGAUAUCUGGAGGAAUACCGGUGGCGAAGGCGGCAUCCUGGACCGGCAUUGACGCUGAUGAGCGAAAGCUAGGGGAGCAAACGGGG